Molecule: transfer RNA, 77 nt
Filed under: Puniceicoccales bacterium
Lineage: Bacteria; Pseudomonadati; Verrucomicrobiota; Opitutia; Puniceicoccales
Description: tRNA-Val
Rfam family: tRNA
About the family: Transfer RNA (tRNA) molecules are approximately 80 nucleotides in length. Their secondary structure includes four short double-helical elements and three loops (D, anti-codon, and T loops).
Source: RNAcentral
GGUCGCGUAGCUCAGUUGGUUAGAGCAUUACAUUCACAUUGUAGGGGUCACAGGUUCGAGUCCUGUCGCGACCACCA